This 305-nucleotide ribosomal RNA is filed under the name uncultured bacterium. RNAcentral's name for it is "partial 16S ribosomal RNA". It matches the Rfam family "Bacterial small subunit ribosomal RNA", at positions 508 to 807 of the family's 1533-position model. The record is from RNAcentral.
ACAGCAGUAGCCGCGGGAAUACGAGGGGAGCUAGCGUUGUUCGGAAUUACUGGGCGUAAAGCGCGCGUAGGCGGCUUUUUAAGUCAGAGGUGGAAGCCCGGGGCUCAACCCCGGAAUUGCCUUUGAAACUGGAAAGCUAGAAUCUUGGAGAGGUCAGUGGAAUUCCGAGUGUAGAGGUGAAAUUCGUAGAUAUUCGGAAGAACACCAGUGGCGAAGGCGACUGACUGGACAAGUAUUGACGCUGAGGUGCGAAAGCGUGGGGAGCAAACAGGAUUAGAUACCCCGGUAGUCCCUGUCUCUUAUAC